UCACGCAGGUCUUCAGAUCGUAUAAAUCUUUCGCCUUUACUAAAGAUUUCCGUGGAGAGGAGCAUGAGUUUCAAAUCAAUUUUUGAUGCUCUGCCCUAAGGUGGGGC
The sequence is a small nuclear RNA, 107 nucleotides long. Its record names the gene U5. It matches the Rfam family "U5 spliceosomal RNA". From Rfam's summary of the family: U5 RNA is a component of both types of known spliceosome. The precise function of this molecule is unknown, though it is known that the 5' loop is required for splice site selection and p220 binding, and that both the 3' stem-loop and the Sm site are important for Sm protein binding and cap methylation. The record is from Ensembl.